GCAUUAAUGCUAAUCGUGAUGGGAGUUUUUGUCUCUGGCUGACUCCUACAUGUUGGCAUUGAAAA
This 65-nucleotide microRNA precursor is filed under the name Anolis carolinensis (green anole). RNAcentral describes it as "mir-155 microRNA precursor family". It matches the Rfam family "mir-155 microRNA precursor family". The record is from Rfam by way of RNAcentral. Lineage: Eukaryota; Metazoa; Chordata; Lepidosauria; Squamata; Anolidae.